GUCUAUGGCUGUACCACCCUGAACACGCUUGAUCUCAUCUGAUCUCGAAGCUAAGCAGGGUUGGCCCUGGUUACUACCUGUAAGGAGACCAACCAUAACUU
Molecule: ribosomal RNA, 101 nt
Filed under: Octodon degus (degu)
Lineage: Eukaryota; Metazoa; Chordata; Mammalia; Rodentia; Octodontidae
Source: RNAcentral